Molecule: ribosomal RNA, 123 nt
Filed under: Microtus ochrogaster (prairie vole)
Lineage: Eukaryota; Metazoa; Chordata; Mammalia; Rodentia; Cricetidae
Source: RNAcentral
GUCUACGGCCAUACCACCCUGAACGCGCCCGAUCUCGUCUGAUCUCUGAAGCUAAGCAGGGUCGGGCCUGGUUAGUACUUGGAUGGGAGACCAAUUUUGAGCUUUUCAUGGCUAACAUUAAUC